RNAcentral lists this ribosomal RNA (434 nucleotides) under uncultured bacterium. RNAcentral's name for it is "bacterial LSU rRNA". It matches the Rfam family "Bacterial large subunit ribosomal RNA", at positions 1808 to 2280 of the family's 2925-position model. The record is from RNAcentral.
CAAAAACAUAAGACUUUGCAAAAUAGAAAUAUGACGUAUAAAGUCUGACAUCUGCCCGGUGUUGCAAGGUAAAAUUAUAGACGUAAGUUUGUAAAUAAACCCCAAUAAACGGCGGCCGUAAUCCUAACGGUCCUAAGGUAGCAAAAUCCCUUGACGGGUAAGUUCCGUCCUGCACGAAUGGUGUAACGACUGCCCCACUGUCUCUAGUGUUAAUUUUAUGAAAUUGAAAUAGACGUGAAGAUGCGUUAAAAGUACAGCUAGACGGAGAGACCCUAUGCACCUUUACUGUUAUCUAAUAUUUAAUUAUGUUUUAUACAAAACUAGAGAGGUAGGAAAGUGUCUAUUAAUGGAAAACUAACUGUUGUGUAAAAUUAAUUAAUAAUAAUUUAUAGGUAUUAUUUUUUGUUAUUAGUAAAGACAGUUUAGUCUGGGGC